GUGUCAGCAGCCGCGGUAAAACGUAGGUGGCGAGCGUUAUCCGGAUUUACUGGGCGUAAAGCGCGUUCAGGCGGCUUGGCAAGUCGGGCAUGAAAUCUUUCGGCUCAACCGGGAGAGGCUGUCCGAUACUGCUAGGCUUGAGGACGGUAGAGGAUGGUGGAAUUCCGCGUGUAGUGGUGAAAUGCGUAGAUAUGCGGAGGAACACCAGUGGCGAAGGCGGCCAUCUGGACCGAUCCUGACGCUGAAGCGCGAAAGCUAGGGUAGCGAACGGGAUUAGAUACCCUUGUAGUCC
This 292-nucleotide ribosomal RNA is filed under the name uncultured bacterium. RNAcentral describes it as "partial 16S ribosomal RNA". It matches the Rfam family "Bacterial small subunit ribosomal RNA", at positions 505 to 796 of the family's 1533-position model. The record is from RNAcentral.